This 450-nucleotide ribosomal RNA is filed under the name uncultured Glomeromycotina. RNAcentral's name for it is "SSU rRNA". It matches the Rfam family "Eukaryotic small subunit ribosomal RNA", at positions 569 to 1024 of the family's 1831-position model. Lineage: Eukaryota; Fungi; Glomeromycota. The record is from RNAcentral.
AGCAGCCGCGGUAAUUCCAGCUCCAAUAGCGUAUAUUAAAGUUGUUGCAGUUAAAAAGCUCGUAGUUGAAUUUCGGGGUCAGCAAGUUGGUCGUGCCACUGGUAUGUACUGGCUUUGCUGAUUCCUCCUUCUUGUAGAACCGUAAUGCCAUUAAGUUGGUGUUGCGGGAAAACAGGACUGUUACUUUGAAAAAAUUAGAGUGUUUAAAGCAGGCUAACGCCUGAAUACAUUAGCAUGGAAUAAUGAAAUAGGACGACGAUCCUAUUUUGUUGGUUUCUAGGAUUGACGUAAUGAUUAAUAGGGAUAGUUGGGGGCAUUAGUAUUCAAUUGUCAGAGGUGAAAUUCUUGGAUUUAUUGAAGACUAACUACUGCGAAAGCAUUUGCCAAGGAUGUUUUCAUUAAUCAAGAACGAAAGUUAGGGGAUCGAAGACGAUCAGAUACCGUCGUAGU